This is an RNA transcript of Micropterus salmoides (largemouth bass), 2143 nucleotides long. It is a transcript of the gene named SET domain and mariner transposase fusion gene, with no coding region annotated. NCBI's taxonomy places the organism in Eukaryota, Metazoa, Chordata, Actinopteri, Centrarchiformes, Centrarchidae. The transcript has 3 exons. The record is from RefSeq and is a predicted model, not a curated record.
GAGGUUUUGUACCUCUCGCCUCAUUUGCCGCUGCUUCCUUGUAAAAUUCGGACAUGAAUAUUGACUGGCACGGUGCGGAUUUGAGCAACGGUCUCGAAAAUGUUGCUGUUUUAAUUGAGCGGAGUUCAGGUGUACUGACAUUUCCUGAAUUUCAGUAUUCUCCAGAUAAUAUUCAGGGUCCAGGAUGCUCUACUGACCCCAGUGAAAUUACCCUUCCUGGGUGCUCCUGCCUUUCCCACUCCUGCUUCACCGAGAGCUGCUCCUGCCUGCAGACACAUGGGCAGGCAUACGACAGCACUGGCACACUGCUCAACCUCAGCAGAAUAGACUCUGGUUACUGCUCACCUGUGUUUGAGUGUAAUGCCCUUUGCUCCUGCAGUGAUGCCUGCUCUAACCGGGUGGUGCAGAGAGGGCUAAGACUCCGGUUGGAGGUUUGCAGCACCAAGAACAGGGGCUGGGGAGUACGGGCACUAGAGGCAAUCCCACGUGGGACGUUUGUGUGCGAGUAUGCAGGAGAGUUGAUCAGUUUGGAGGAGGCCAGACGCAGACAGCUUGCCCAGAGAUCCGAGGAAAACAACUACAUCAUCGCCGUAAGGGAGCAUGCAGGCACGGGCUCCAUCACUGAGACGUUUGUGGACCCUGCCGUGGUGGGAAACGUAGGCCGCUUUCUCAACCACUCCUGCCAGCCCAACCUGUUCAUGCAGCCAGUCCGCGUGCACUCGGUGGUUCCUAGACUGGCGCUGUUUGCUGGACGGAACAUUGAUGCACAAGAAGAGCUGACAUUUGACUACUCGGGGUUAUACAGUAACCAACCUCCUGCAGAGCUGCCGUCCACACAAAGUGACGCCGCCACGCAGGCCAGUAGGACAGAUGGACUCCAGAGGAAGGAGUGCCGUUGUGGUGCAGACAACUGUGUUCGGUUCCUUCCGCUGGAUUUAUCUAUUCUCAACUAAUGUAAAUAAAAUUUCAUGUCACUAGAGUGUUUCUGAAUGACGGAGAAAAGAUUUUUUUGUCAAGCCUUCUGCCUUUUGUUUUCUCCUUAUUUUCAUUUCAAACUGUCUCUUUAGAUAUGUCUUGGUCUAUUUUCAGUCUCCCUGAAAUCUUUGUUAAUUCAACCUCUCAUUAGAACAAGACAAUGCGACGUGUUGAUGGCACCAUAAACACAAUCAGCAGGAUGAGUCAUGUCUCUGCCUGUCAUUGUUUCCUGUUUGCCCCCCCCCCCCGGCCUCUCCUCAUCUGCCACUGUCUCCACUCAAGUGUAAGGGGAUGCAAUAAAAACUAUGCAUUGGGGACGCGUGCUCCGUGUAGGACAUUUCCCACAUGAUACAGUCUUGCAGCUGUCAUCUUGACCUGGCUCAUGGAAAGUCCCGUUUCUCACACAUUAAUCUGGAAGGAGCAGAACCAUCAUUUGCACUGACAGAGAUUGGAGGAAUGAUGUUUAAUAGGUUUCUUUUAAUAGUCACAUACGCUACAGAGGUGAUCUCUACACCUUUACAAUUGCCAAAGCUUUUUGCAAUAACAUGUCAUGUCAGUCAAAAACAAAUCAAAAUUCUCAAAGCUUUUAUUUGUUUCCAUCCUCUUGACGUUUCUUAUCUGGCUUCAUGCAAUUCAUCCUCCCCUUGUAGAUAUUCUCAGCCUCUCAUCCCACUCAAACCUCAAGAGAGGUGGGACCAAUUAAAAAGGGCCAGGGGGUGUUUUCUUAUAUAGAAACAGACUUUAUUCCCCUGUCAAAGGAGGGGCGAAGGUGUCCCACUUUGGUGUGACCAUUCUGAAAUCAGGACCUUCUCCUUUCAAUCUGCCACUGUUUCUAGUCUAGACCUGUUUUCAUCUUAUUAAUAUCUAGAUCUAGGUUAAUUAGGAUGGAGACUGUGUUACAUCCAGAAAUGGGACCAGCGCUGCGGCCACACUGGGGCUGAGAGAGACUAAAUGGUGGGGGGAGAUGGAAGGCUUCAGCUGAUCGGAGACCACUGUGAAAUUGAUUGGUUUUUGUGUCACCCAGUGGAGAGGCGAAUGUGGCAGGAUGAUGUUGUUUUGACCUAUAUUUUCUCCUCUGUGAGGGCUUUUUUCUGUUCAAAAUGAGCUAUUCUUUGCAUUGUUUCUGAUCUGAUCCACACCCAGGAAAUAAAAACUCAACCUAAAGGAA